UCGAAGAGAAGGAUGCUAGACGA
RNAcentral lists this non-coding RNA (23 nucleotides) under Arabidopsis thaliana (thale cress). The record is from RNAcentral. Lineage: Eukaryota; Viridiplantae; Streptophyta; Magnoliopsida; Brassicales; Brassicaceae.